Molecule: transfer RNA, 86 nt
Filed under: Canis lupus familiaris (dog)
Lineage: Eukaryota; Metazoa; Chordata; Mammalia; Carnivora; Canidae
Also listed under: 3 other names
Rfam family: tRNA
About the family: Transfer RNA (tRNA) molecules are approximately 80 nucleotides in length. Their secondary structure includes four short double-helical elements and three loops (D, anti-codon, and T loops).
Source: Rfam by way of RNAcentral
ACCUGGGUGGCUCAGUGGUUGAGCAUCUGGCUUGGGCUCAGGUCAUGAUCACCACAGUGUCCUGGGAUCCAGUCCCACCUCAGGUC